YAAACAGCAUCGCAURCUACAGAGAAAUCCUUUGUGAAAGGAAGAGUSAAUCRAKGUGGCAAAYUUCAUUGCUGUCGCAUUUUACAAAAUUGCCACAGCCACCCCAACCUUCAGCAACCACCACCCUGAUCAGUCAGCAGCCAUCAACAUCGAGGCAAGACCCUCCCUCAGCAAAAAGAUUAUGACUCGCUGAAGGUUCGGAUCAUGGUUAGCAUUUUUUUAGACAUAAAGUAUUUUUUAACUAAGGUAUGUAGAUUAUUUUUUUAGACAUAAUGCUAUUGCACACUUAAUAGACUAUAGUAUAGCGUAAACAUAACUUUUAUAUGCACUAGGAAACCAAAAAAUUCGUGUCACUCUCUUUAUUGCGAUACUUGCUUUAUUGCAGUGGUCUGGAACUGAACCUGCAAUAUCUCCAAGGUAUGCCUGUAAAUAUAACCUUAGUAUUUCAUGUUUCUCUUCCAUUCUCUGGUGGGUCCUGUUCAGGAACAUCUCUGCUUUCCUCUUCCUAGGGUGAACCGGGGAGAGAGGAGAGGGAAGGAUUGAGGAUCAUGCUGUGUGUUCAGUGCAUCCUUCUUUUUCCACCAGGAACUGAGAAGCAAGAUUUGAGAUUUAGUUGAUAAUCACUGAACUGAGGAGCCUGAAGCAUUAUUAGGAAAGCUUUCUUCUUUGAAGAAGGAGCUGCUGCCAGACGCUGGCCUCAUGAAGGGGAGUGUUAUGGCCCAUGGUUUUCCCUUCUUCAGCCACUCUUUCUCAGACUGCAGAAACUAAGAAAUAUAAAGUUCCAGCUCCCCUGAGACAAGGAACAUGAAACAUGGAUACAAAAGGAGAGGAUUAACCUGCCAGCACCACACUUAUCAGUUAAAAAUGGAUCGGGAUCUGAAGCUCUGUAUCCUGGGCCAUCUGAGAUUCACAUCAGUCUCUUGAAUUUAGAUGCUAUAACUGGAGAAGUUGUGGCUUCUGGUAUGUAGCUGGGUACCCAAAAUCACAUUACUUUAAAAAUAAUAAUAAUAAUAAUAAAAGCUCAUUUGACUAACCUGAGAUUUCA
This is a long non-coding RNA of Apteryx owenii (little spotted kiwi), 1045 nucleotides long. NCBI's taxonomy places the organism in Eukaryota, Metazoa, Chordata, Aves, Apterygiformes, Apterygidae. The record is from Ensembl.